UCCCGCUCGCACAGUCUGAGGCCUCCCCAUACCAGCUUCUAAUAAGGCUUCCAAAAACGAAACCGAGAGAGGCUCCGCCACUUCUGAAAGACAAGAGGAGCCACCAUGGCACUCGCACUUCUGAUCCAAUACCCACUUCCCGCCCAGCGCCUCUUGCGCGCGCCACAAGGGCGCCCAGCCCACCAAGCCGGUCUCGGGCCCCAGAGGAGGCCUCCAGAGAGCCCCUUACCUCCCGCCAGGGCGCUUGAGGCCGGUAGGUGCCCACGGCGCAGGCGCAGGAGCGACGGGGCGGGGCGUCGCGAGGGGUGGGUUGGGAUGUACCCCCCCACUCCGCCCCGCCUCACCCCGCGAGGCCGCCGGGCGGGGUGCGCGGGUCAAACAGCUGACAGCCUAACUGAAGUCCCCGCCACAGCCAGCAUCAACUGCAAAGACACCUCCAGAUGA
Molecule: long non-coding RNA, 444 nt
Organism: Callithrix jacchus (white-tufted-ear marmoset)
Lineage: Eukaryota; Metazoa; Chordata; Mammalia; Primates; Cebidae
Source: Ensembl